RNAcentral lists this ribosomal RNA (483 nucleotides) under uncultured bacterium. RNAcentral's name for it is "partial 16S ribosomal RNA". It matches the Rfam family "Bacterial small subunit ribosomal RNA", at positions 28 to 507 of the family's 1533-position model. The record is from RNAcentral.
GACGAACGCUGGCGGCGUGCUUAACACAUGCAAGUCGAACGCUGAAGCUCAGCUUUUGUUGGGUGGAUGAGUGGCGAACGGGUGAGUAACACGUGAGUAACCUGCCCCCUUCUUUGGGAUAACGCCCGGAAACGGGUGCUAAUACUGGAUAUUCACUGGUCUUCGCAUGGGGGUUGGUGGAAGGGGUUUUUCUGGUGGGGGAUGGGCUCGCGGCCUAUCAGCUUGUUGGUGGGGUGAUGGCCUACCAAGGCUUUGACGGGUAGCCGGCCUGAGAGGGUGACCGGGCACAUUGGGACGGAGAUACGGCCCAGACUCCUACGGGAGGCAGCAGUGGGGAAUAUUGCACGAUGGGCGCAAGACUGAUGCAGCGACGCCGAGUGAGGGAUGGAGGCCUUCGGGUUGUGAACCUCUUUCGCUAAUGGUCAAGCCGCAACGAUGGUUGUGGUGAGGGUAGUGGGUAAAGAAGCGCCGGCUAACUACGUG